AUCCAGAUGAUGAGUUCCAAAUAGGACGAAACGUGCGUCAAUCUGGAU
This 48-nucleotide non-coding RNA is filed under the name Schistosoma mattheei. Lineage: Eukaryota; Metazoa; Platyhelminthes; Trematoda; Strigeidida; Schistosomatidae. The record is from RNAcentral.